RNAcentral lists this transfer RNA (73 nucleotides) under Paramuricea clavata. It matches the Rfam family "tRNA". From Rfam's summary of the family: Transfer RNA (tRNA) molecules are approximately 80 nucleotides in length. The record is from Rfam by way of RNAcentral. Lineage: Eukaryota; Metazoa; Cnidaria; Anthozoa; Malacalcyonacea; Plexauridae.
GACCGCGUAGCUCAGUUGGAAGAGCAUUGGGCUAGUAUUCCAAAGGUUGUAGGUUCGAAUCCCACUGUGGCCG